This is a long non-coding RNA of Phyllopteryx taeniolatus (common seadragon), 1494 nucleotides long. RefSeq lists it as uncharacterized. The record is from RefSeq and is a predicted model, not a curated record. The transcript is spliced from 2 exons. Lineage: Eukaryota; Metazoa; Chordata; Actinopteri; Syngnathiformes; Syngnathidae.
AUCAAGUUGUGGACAAAGUGCACUUACCGGGCGUCACGCUGUGGAUUUGCGCAGCCGCGACAAACAAGACACACAAGUUCAGCUUCGCCAUGUUUUGCUCCUUUUCGUCCACAAAGUGACGACGACUCCUCCUCAUUUGACUCGCGUGGCGUUGUUGUGUCGCUCAAAUGAAGUCGAGUGUGCGAAAUUGGAGACGAGGAGCAGCGCGAGUGUUUUUGGAAGCUUGUGCUGAAACAGCGACGCUUUCGUUCUUCGCGCGCGCGCGCGCGAGCCUUUCGGGGAAGUCACGUGACCGCGCCAGCCCACUUUCCGAAGAAACAUACGACGACAUGCGUGGAGGAAAACUACAUCUGCGCUAUGUUCAUGCAAAAGUCAUCAAACUUCCCAAGGGUGUGGAUUUUCCUCUCAUUUUGUCAGUUCCAGGAAAAUAUUUGAUGUUUGUUGGGAUGAUAAGAAAAACAGAGUGAGGUCACACAUUCUGAGGGGCCGCAGGCGCAGAAUGGCAGCCACGCUUCGUCAGACUGCUUCACAAGUCGUGUCUUGGAGUGCCUAGAAAAGUGCGAUACAAGUGUCAUGCGUUGGAUUGAGUGUGAGAGAAUCAAGUUGUAUUUUUAUCUGUAAAAGAAAAGUUGUCAUAUUACAACUCAGGCAUUUUUGUAAUUUGAGAAUCAAAGUUGCAUAUUGUCAAUGAAAAGAGAAUGCGCUCUAUUUUUAGAUAAAAAGAUGCACUUUUACAAGAAUUAAGUUGUUUUUUGGGGGUUUUAGAGGCAUCAGAGAAUAUUUUAUUUUUGCUAUUUCCUUGCCUGAUAGGAGUUUUAUUUGAGAUAUGCAAGUACACCUAUGGAUGUUUCAGUGUUCUACAAAGUUUGAUUUUUAUGAGUAAGUCACAAUAAAAACUAAGAAUGAAGUUGUAUAUUCCAGAAAAAGAAUGGCAAACAAUGCAGUCAAGCAUAAGAAACCAAUGUUUUUAUUGUCGUUUCUUCCAUUUAAAAAAACAAAACAAAAAAGAGACAGAAGCAUGCACACAUUCCUGGCAGCAGCCUAAAACUUCAAAUCAGCUUGGGUGGGAACAUGAGCGUCAUUGAGAACAGGCCCGGCUGGUUUGGUGUUUUUCUUCAAGCAUCAGAAAAGGUCAUGUGACAUCUUCAACAACCACAUUUGUUCUGUGUGAACGGCUGACGUUGAAUUCAUCCUUCAUUCGUGCGGAACAAAUGAAUAAUUAUGAAGACAAAAGCCCGACAUAAAUAAAUAGACCCAGGAGGGUUUUUUUUUUUUUUUUUUUUCAACACAUAAAAUAAAGACUUUGAUUUGACAUAAACAUUUGAUCCUCUUAAAACAAAUAAAAGUCGUAUUAAAUCUGGAGCAUUUUGCGCAAUACAGCAUGUACAACAUUCGCAGAAGCAGCAGCCAAUGAGUCCGCAGCACUCAAUACAUGUACACUAUGUACAAGCAGAAAACAAACUGCAGUUUGGCACCAGGCACACUUUUCAAAAA